GAUGAAGAGCUCAGCGAAAUGCGAAAAGUAAUGUGAAUUGCAGAAUUCAGUGAAUCAUCGAAUCUUUGAACGCACAUUGCGCCCGCCAGUAUUCUGGCGGGCAUGCCUGUCUGAGCGUCAUUUCAACCCUCACGCCCCUAGGGCGUGGUGUUGGGGAUCGGCCAAGGCCCGCAAGGGACGGCCGGCCCCUAAAUCUAGUGGCGGACCCAUCGUGGCCUCCCCUGCGAAGUAGUAAUAUAUUCCGCAUCGGAUAGCGAUGAGCCCCUGCCGUUAAACCCCCAACUCUUUCAAGGUUGACCUCAGAUCAGGUAGGAAUACCCGCUGAACUUAAGCAUAUCAAUAAGCGGAGGA
RNAcentral lists this unclassified non-coding RNA (351 nucleotides) under soil metagenome. RNAcentral's name for it is "partial contains 5.8S ribosomal RNA, internal transcribed spacer 2, and large subunit ribosomal RNA". The stretch from base 1 to 120 matches the Rfam family "5.8S ribosomal RNA", at positions 35 to 154 of the family's 154-position model. The record is from RNAcentral.